This 124-nucleotide unclassified non-coding RNA is filed under the name Entrophospora infrequens. RNAcentral's name for it is "ITS1". The record is from RNAcentral. Lineage: Eukaryota; Fungi; Glomeromycota; Glomeromycetes; Entrophosporales; Entrophosporaceae.
CAGUGUUAGGCUUCGGCCUCAUUCACACCCCUUGUUGAACCUCUGGUUUCUUUGGCGAUGUCAUGGACUCGUCAGACUUUAACUCUGAUAAUGCGAUACUGUCCGAGUGAGAUUGAAUUAUUAA